RNAcentral lists this small RNA (412 nucleotides) under Cryptococcus neoformans H99. Its description in RNAcentral is "Cryptococcus neoformans var. grubii H99 hypothetical RNA". The record is from RNAcentral. Lineage: Eukaryota; Fungi; Basidiomycota; Tremellomycetes; Tremellales; Cryptococcaceae.
GCAGAAUGAGGGGCUGCAGAUUAUCAUCACGAUAAUCUAUGGUCCAUGCAUCCUGUCAUAUUGUGCCGACAGCAGGUUGCCCUUGGCAUCGGCAAGAGGGACUGACAUAUUGUAAGAGUUAACCGGUGUGGAGAGAGGAGAACAAUUCAAAACAUGCAGCAAUGGGAUCAAGGAAGUCAACCAAUGAACGAUCUCGCCGUUCGCUUAUAUUAAUUCCUUCGGGGAAUCAUAUCGCAGCGAUCCAGGAGUAUGGCGGAGCAAGGUCAAAGCGUUUGAAGUGAUAUGUCUUCACAGCAUAUUAUUUGUUACCAGCCGCAACAACAGAAUUACGAGUCCUAUUUGAUCAGGGGGAUGAGUUCAUGAGCACAAAUGUUUAACUUUGAAGAGCUUCCACGUACAAAUUUUCCACAUA